Molecule: ribosomal RNA, 253 nt
Filed under: uncultured bacterium
Lineage: Bacteria
Description: partial 16S ribosomal RNA
Rfam family: Bacterial small subunit ribosomal RNA
Source: RNAcentral
UACGUAGGGGGCAAGCGUUGUCCGGAAUCAUUGGGCGUAAAGAGCGCGUAGGCGGUCCGGUAAGUCCGCUCUGAAAGUCACAGGCUCAACCUGUGAAAGCGGGUGGAUACUGCCGGGCUAGAGUCCGGAAGAGGCGAGUGGAAUUCCUGGUGUAGCGGUGGAAUGCGCAGAUAUCAGGAGGAACACCAACGGCGAAGGCAGCUCGCUGGGACGGUACUGACACUGAGGCGCGAAAGCGUGGGGAGCGAACAGG